This is a long non-coding RNA of Oncorhynchus keta (chum salmon), 4026 nucleotides long. RefSeq lists it as uncharacterized. The transcript has 4 exons. NCBI's taxonomy places the organism in Eukaryota, Metazoa, Chordata, Actinopteri, Salmoniformes, Salmonidae. The record is from RefSeq and is a predicted model, not a curated record.
GGACAUUCCUGGAAUGACCUGAAUUCUGGCCCAAUCAUCUGGUCUGGGCAUCAUUGGGUCGCACAUUAGAAGUAGUAGCAUGGCCCUGCCUACACCUAACAACUUGCUUUUUAAAUUAGAUAAGCAAAAAAUAUUCCACUUUAUUUGGAACAGCAAGCCAGACAAAAUUAAACAGCCCUAUUUAUAUAAUUAAUAUGAAUUUGGAGGGAAGAAAUUAUGAAAUAUUAAAACAUUGGACCUCUCAAUAAAGGCUUCAGUCAUUCAAAAGCUAUACUUAAAUCCAAACUGGUUCUCUAGCACACUGGUUCUCUAGCACACUGGUUCUCUAGCAAACUGGUUCUCUAGCACACUGGUUCUCUAGCAAACUGGUUCUCAAUCCUGGUCAUGGGGACACAAACAGGUGCACAUUUUAGUUUUUGCCCCUAGCACCACACAGCUGAUUCAAAUGAUCAACUCGUCAAAAGGCUUUGAUGAUUUGAAUCAGGUGUGUGGUGCUAGGGCAAAAACAAAAAUGUGUCCCCAGGACGAGGAUUGAGAACCACUGCGAGCAGAUUAGUAAGAAUGGCUCACCCCUUUUUCCGCUUUAUUCAGAUUACAAUGUCUCACUUUCGUUUUUUUGACAAUGAAAUAAUCUCCAAAAUAUCUCUAUUUUGAAAACAGGCAAUAGAAAGCUGGUUGAAAUUUCAGUUUAAUCCACCAGAAAAGACUAAACAAAUAUUAGAUAAAAUAUUAGGGUUAAACUAAAAUAAACAAAUUGGUAAAGAUAUAUUUAAAACAUUUGAGGGAAAAAAAUAAAAACAGCAUAAUCUUGGUAAAUUAUGUCAUAAAUAGGACUGGUGGCGAUAUUUCAGACAUCCAGCUAGCAAAUGUAUAUGGAAAUAUCUGCUCUACUCAAAAUCCCAUCCAACUUAUUGCAGCAUUACCUCAAACAUGGAGAAGAAGUGGAAAGGGAAGAAGGUAAGGAAUGGGUAUGUCGGCCCUGCAUUAAAGACCAAAAUUGUUAUAAGUAAAAAAGUAUACCAAGUUUCAUUUAAGGACCCAAAAAUUGACAGCUGCGCCUUACAUGUUGCAAAAUAGUUGGAGGAGAUUUUCGAUGUACCGACUCCAUGACCCAUGGUUUAUGAACUGAUACACGAAACGACACAGAAUGUCAAAUACAUGAACAAAAAUACAAGCGCAAGCAACAAUUUCAAUGAUUUUACUGCGUUACAGUUCAUAUAAGGAAAUCAGUCAAUUGAAAUAAAUUAAUUCGGCCUUGAUCUAUGCAUGUCACAUGAUUGGGCAGGGGCACAGCCAUGGGUGGGCUUGGGAGGGCUUAGGCCGACCCACUCACCUACUGGGGAGCCAGGCCCAGCCAAUCAGAAUGAGUUUUCCCCCACAAAAGGUCUUUGUUACAGACAGAAAUAUUCCUAAUUUUCAUUAGCUGUCUGGCUGGUCUCAGACGAUCCCCAGGUGAAGAAGCCAGAUGUCCUGAGAUGGCGUAGUUACACAUGGUCUGCGGUUGGUCUCAGACGAUCCCCAGGUGAAGAAGUCAGAUGUCCUGAGAUGGCGUAGUUACACAUGGUCUGCGGUUGGUCUCAGACGAUCCCCAGGUGAAGAAGUCAGAUGUCCUGAGAUGGCGUAGUUACACAUGGUCUGCGGUUGGUCUCAGACGAUCCCCAGGUGAAGAAGCCAGAUGUCCUGAGAUGGCGUAGUUACACAUGGUCUGCGGUUGGUCUCAGACGAUCCCCAGGUGAAGAAGCCAGAUGUCCUGAGAUGGCGUAGUUACACAUGGUCUGCGGUUGGUCUCAGACGAUCCCCAGGUGAAGAAGCCAGAUGUCCUGAGAUGGCGUAGUUACACAUGGUCUGCGGUUGUGAGGCCGGUUGGACGUCCUGCCAAAUUCUCUAAAAUGUCGUUGGAGGUUGCUUAUGGUAGAGAAAUUAAUAUUCAGUUCUCUGGCUACAGCUCUGGUGGACAUACCUGUAGUCAGCAUGCCAAUUGUACGCUCCCUCAAAACUGGAGUGGCCACUCUAAAACAGCACAUUUUAGAGUGGCCUUUUAUUGUCCCUAGCACAAGGACAAGCACAAAUUUGUGCACAUUUGAGAGAAAUACGUUUUUUGUGCGUAUGGACGAUUUCUGUGAUGUUUUAUUUCAGCUCAUGAAACAUGGGACCAACACUUUACAUGUUGCAUUUAUAUUUUUAUUGAGUAUAUAUGGGGGAAACAACCAUCCCAGCUCUGCAGAUAUUGCUGCGAAGAGACACAAUCAUUAGAGCCCUUAUUUUUGGUACUGCCCAUAUGUUGCUUGUUUUUGGUCGCAGGUUCUGGAAUGGCAGAAAAAUUGCAACAUUUAGAUGGCGCUAACUCUGCAAAUAACGCUGCUGGGUGAUUUGAUCAAUAAAUGUCAAUGAUAUAUAAUAAUACUCUGAGGAAAAAAAAUAUAUUUUUAAUUUACAGUCUGUAGAAACUAUGAGAAUUUAAAGUUUCAGAACUUUUGUGAAACUUCACAGCACAUUGGGAAAAUGAUGGCGUCUUGAAAUCAAAACGGGAUGUUCUUCAGAGAUAGAUGGGAGGGGUUGAGGGUAGCUGAAGGCUGGGACUGGAAGGUCUUCAUAGAUAGAUGAGAGGGGUUGAGGGUAGCCGAAGGCUGGGACUGGAAGGUCUUCAUAGAUAGAUGAGAGGGGUUGAGGGUAACUGAAGGCUGGGACUGGAAGGUCUUCAUAGAUAGAUGAGAGGGGUUGAGGGUAACUGAAGGCUGGGACUGGAAGGUCUUCAUAGAUAGAUGAGAGGGGUUGAGGGUAACUGAAGGCUGGGACUGGAAGGUCUUCAUAGAUAGAUGAGAGGGGUUGAGGGUAACUGAAGGCUGGGACUGGAAGGUCUUCAUAGAUAGAUGAGAGGGGUUGAGGGUAACUGAAGGCUGGGACUGGAAGGUCUUCAUAGAUAGAUGAGAGGGGUUGAGGGUAACUGAAGGCUGGGACUGGAAGGUCUUCAUAGAUAGAUGAGAGGGGUUGAGGGUAACUGAAGGCUGGGACUGGAAGGUCUUCAUAGAUAGAUGAGAGGGGUUGAGGGUAACUGAAGGCUGGGACUGGAAGGUCUUCAUAGAUAGAUGAGAGGGGUUGAGGGUAACUGAAGACUGGGACUGGAUGGUCUUUAGAGAUAGAUGGGAGGGGUUGAGCGUAGCUGAAGACUGGGACUGGAUGGUCUUUAGAGAUAGAAGGGAGGGGUUGAGGGUAGCUGAAGGCUGGGAUUGGAUGGUCUUCAGAGAUAGAUGCGAGGAGUUGAGGGUAACUGAAGGCUGGGACUGGAAGGUCUUCAUAGAUAGAUGAGAGGGGUUGAGGGUAACUGAAGGAUGGGACUAAAAACAAACAAAUGAUAACGAAUGUAAAAUAUACUGUCCAUAAAAUGUAUAUUGUGUAGCAUGUAUAAAAUGGAAGUAGAAGCCUAAAUAUUGUUGUCCAUUAGUUAGCUCCAAUUAGGGAGGGGUGGUAGGUUUAGGGUAAAAUAAUAAAGAGGGAAAGUUAUUUAUAUAUAUAUAUAUAUAUACAGCAAGAAAAAUAUGGGUGUAUUGGAAGUGAUGCAGACAAUUACAUUGAUGGAAGCUACAGUCUAUCUGCAAUAUUAAAGCAGAUCUACCCCCUUAAUUAAAAAAAAAUAAUAAUAAUUAAACUAGAAAAAAGGUUGUAGCAUGGAUACCAUGUAUUCUCAGUGAAUUUGUUUGUGAAAGAUACACAACUACACUACACACUUACUAUAUUACUGUAGUAUUUCAUUUGACUAUUCAAACAUAAUCCGUUUUAUUCCAGUUAAAAUAUUUCUGUCCUUGAAAUCAAGGCUCCAAACCUCAUGAUCGAAAUGACAACAACUUGAGAAUGGACUUUGUCAAAACACAGAGGAUAAUGGUGUGUGUGUGAUGUGUGUGGUGUGUUUCACUAUAUUGGCCCAAUGCAUCAAGACACUAAUCUAAUUAAUUCAGAUGUUGAUGACAUCCCAACCUCCCUCACCCUCACCCUCACUCUCUCCCUCACCCUCUCCCUCACCCUCUCCCU